Non-coding RNA from Myotis myotis, 941 nucleotides. NCBI's taxonomy places the organism in Eukaryota, Metazoa, Chordata, Mammalia, Chiroptera, Vespertilionidae. The record is from the annotation of a RefSeq genome assembly.
AUGUCCAGCUACAUCUGCAGGGCCCUUCGCCUUCUGGGCACCCGGUCCCCCGGCGCUGCGCCGGAGCCGGCGGGGCUGGGAGCCGGGAGCGAAGCGGGAUGCGGCGCGGCGGGGUUUACGUGCGGGGCUGGGGCUCUGUGCUCCUAUGAGCAGUACUUCGGCGCCGGCACCAGGCUCACGGUCGUCGACAACCUGAACAAGGUGAAACCACCCAAGGUCACUGUGUUUGAACCAUCCGAAGCAGAGAUCGCCCGGACACAGAAGGCCACGCUUGUGUGCCUGGCCACAGGCUUCUACCCCGACCACGUGGAGCUGAGCUGGUGGGUGAAUGGGAAGGAGAUCCAGAGUGGGGUCAGCACAGACCCUCAGCCCUACAAGGAGCAGCGCAACCACAGUGACCCCACCUACUGUCUGAGCAGCCGGCUGAGGGUCUCUGCCACCUUCUGGCACAAUCCUCGCAACCACUUCCGCUGCCAAGUCCAGUUCUUUGGGCUAGAGGAAGAAGACAAGAAGAAUUGGGAGGACACCCGCCCCAUACCCAUCACCCAGAAUGUCAGUGCUGAGGUCUGGGGCAGAGCAGAUUGUGGCUUCACCUCAAGUUCCUACCAGCAAGGGGUCCUGUCUGCCACCAUCCUCUAUGAGAUCCUUCUGGGGAAGGCCACUGUGUAUGCGGUGCUGGUCAGCGCCUUGGUGCUGAUGGCCAUGCUCAAGAAAAAGGUUUCCUGAGACCAGUUCCAGAUGAACAUCCUCAGACAUUUUUAAUCCAAACCCUAGAUUCACCUUCACAUGCUUCCAGUCUGUGUUCCCAAUGAAGGAUUCUCUCCUCGCCCUCUUAUCUCCUACCUAUAUAAGUAUCUGUCCCUUCUCUCUGCUGCCCUGCAGACUGAGCUCCUCAAUACUGAGUCUGAGAUAAACUAAACCAAUAAAAAUGUUGUGCUGGA